GACGAACGCUGGCGGCGUGCUUAACACAUGCAAGUCGAACGGAAAGGCCCUGCUUUUGUGGGGUGCUCGAGUGGCGAACGGGUGAGUAACCCGUGAGUAACCUGCCCUUGACUGUGGGAUGACUUCAGAAAACUGGGGCUAAUACCGGGUAGGAGCUCCUGCUGCAUGGUGGGGGUUGGAAAGUUUCGGUGGUUGGGGAUGGACUCGCGGCGUAUCAGCUUGUUGGUGGGGUAGUGGCUUACCAAGGCUUGGACGGGUAGCCGGCCUGAGAGGGUGAGCGGCCACAUGGGGCUUGAGAUACGGCCCAGACUCGUACGGGAGGCAGCAGUGGGGAAGAUUGCACAAUGGGCGGAAGGCUGAUGCAGCAACGCCGCGUGCGGGAUGACGGCCUUCGGGUUGGAAUCCGCUUUCGCCUGGGACGAAGCGUGAGUGACGGUAAUGGGUAAAGAAGCACCGGCUAACUACGUG
This 468-nucleotide ribosomal RNA is filed under the name uncultured bacterium. RNAcentral's name for it is "partial 16S ribosomal RNA". It matches the Rfam family "Bacterial small subunit ribosomal RNA", at positions 28 to 507 of the family's 1533-position model. The record is from RNAcentral.